This 2156-nucleotide long non-coding RNA is filed under the name Gossypium barbadense (sea-island cotton). Its description in RNAcentral is "long non-coding RNA (GBAR_LNC006702)". The record is from RNAcentral. Lineage: Eukaryota; Viridiplantae; Streptophyta; Magnoliopsida; Malvales; Malvaceae.
AUAUUGGCUCGGCAUUGUCAAUUUUAGACUUUUGAGUGCUCGUGGUUGGAUUAGCAGCGAAAAUAAACCAGGUGUGUACUCCGAUUAUGUAAAAAACGAGUUUCAAUGAAAGGCGAAAAAUGACCUAUCGACGCCACACGAGCGUGUGGGAAUCUGGGCCAAGCCGUGUGAUCGACACGAACAAGGCCAAAUUGGGCCGUAUGACCCACACGGGCGUGUAGGCCCACACGGGCAAGGUACACAGGCGUAUAAACCCCUUUAAUUUGAAAUGUUCUGUAAGGUUGCACGGGUCGCCCAAGUCGACUGUGACCUAUAGUAGGAUCGAUAAGCCUUAUCUAGACUCUUAGUUCUGUGUUGUAUGUGUUUGCAUAAUAUACUUAGCAUGAUUAUUUAAUCUAUUUUGUAAAUAAAUGUUUGAUCUGGUUGUUUGCAUUACAGCAUGCCAUAUUUGUAUGAUGCACUGCAUCGAGGUGGGUCUGAAAAAGUAAAGAGAGUAUUUGAAGGGUUUCAUAAACCCGUUAUCUGGCAGCUAAGCUGCAUACGUAUGAUAUGUGCUGCGAUGGGUACCUUAUGGUGUGUAGGGUUGGAUGGGUCGAUUAUAUCCCCAUUUAUGGUGUGCAGGGAUGGGUGGGUCGAUUUUAUCCCAGCUUGGUGUAAUGAGUUGAACGAAGAUGGUGUGCAGGGUUGGUGGGCAUGAUAUUUCUGAUAUCUAAUCUGUUAUGCAUAUGAUAUCUGUAUGGCUAAGGCCGAAAUAUCUGUAUUCUGUUGUUUGUUUGUAUGCAUGCUGUAAUAGGCCCAUUUCGCCCGGGCCCAUAAUGUUAUCUAAAAACAAAAGCAAAAUCAAUUAAUUAAAAAGUCCAAGUUUUUUACAAAAAUAAAAGCCCAAAGCAAGAUCCCUAACCCAAAGGCCCAAACACCCAAAAAAAUCUCAGCAGCACUGGAAGCUUCUGGAACGUGCCAGAAUAGGCCAGAGAGCUAGGGCUCCCACGAGUGGUUCUUCACAUGGCCUCCUUCGCACGUCUCUCCGCUCCGCUGUACAACCGAGCCUGCAAAAGAACACACCAGAAAGACUCAAUAACAGAAUUCAUAGCAGAUGACAACAGGAAAAUAGGAUUUUUUUUAUAUAUUUUUAUUUAUCUUGUAAAUCUGGCUAUAAAAGCCAUUGAUGUACCUGCAAAUAAAAAAAAUUACGCACACAGAAUAUACUCUACGCAUACAAUAUCUGUACACACGCACAGAGAAGAGAGAAAAGCGCUUUAAGAUCAAUAGAGGUGAUUUCAUUUUUUCUCUUCCGAUUUUUUCCGUUUUUUCUUUUCUCUUUAUUUUCUUAUUUGUUUGCUCAUUUUUUAUGCAACUUAAGGCCGAUGAAAGCCCUAAAUCUGCCAUGCGAGUAUAAGGGCGAGAGGUCACAUAAUAGUGGAAAUCUAUUCAUUUUACAAAUCUGUUUUUAUUUUUUUUCUUUAAAAAAUAACAUGAGAUUUGAAAGCUUCAUUCAAAUAAAGAAGAAAGAAAGGAAAAUACUUACCGAAUCCUUUUAGAUCUGGUCGAGCUCCUUUAACGGCAAGAUUGGGCACGUCUCACUUAUGGGUAAUCACCUAAAAUCAUGGUGGUUUGGCAGUCAAGUGAAGGAAACCCUAAAAAAUUUGAUUUUAAUGGCUGGAAUUUCUUUUGAUCUAAAAUGGGGCUACGUUUGGGGAAAGGAAAUAGAAGAAAAGGGGUCUUAAAUGACCAUUUAAUAAAAUGGCACAGUUUUAUGGAGUAAGGUCCACGCGGUGACUCAUUUGGCAGGCCCAAUCUGCGCAUUACCACUCAAAAAUGGGGAAUUUGCGCAACAAAUCCUUCCCCUUGCGCACAACCUUCAAUUUGCGCCCAAUUUGCCUACCUUGUGUUUUAAAAUUUGGCCUACUAAUUUGUGCUUUGUUUCACUUUGAUCCGCGAUUCCUUGCAGCAUUGUAGGCGCGAGAUAUUUACAAAUUCAGUCCCCAUACAUUUAUGCGCUUUGAGCAUUGGUCCAUGUUAUGAUUACUUUAUUUGCAAAUUAUCCUCCCUAUUUUAUUGCAGUAUUAAUUUGGUCUUAUAAUUGUACAAUUGGUUAAUUUAAAAUAUAUUUAAUAUGUUUAUGCAUUAAUCCAUGUUAAUAAUUUUGUUUGUUACAU